This 253-nucleotide ribosomal RNA is filed under the name uncultured bacterium. RNAcentral describes it as "partial 16S ribosomal RNA". It matches the Rfam family "Bacterial small subunit ribosomal RNA", at positions 524 to 776 of the family's 1533-position model. The record is from RNAcentral.
UACAGAGGUCUCAAGCGUUGUUCGGAUUCAUUGGGCGUAAAGGGUGCGUAGGCGGCUCGGUCAGUCGGGUGUGAAAUCCCUGGGCUCAACCUGGGAACUGCAUUCGAUACUGCCGAGCUAGAGUGUGGGAGAGGGUGGUGGAAUUCCCGGUGUAGCGGUGAAAUGCGUAGAUAUCGGGAGGAACAUCAGUGGCGAAGGCGACCGCCUGGCCCAACACUGACGCUGAGGUGCGAAAGCGUGGGUAGCAAACAGG